UAACUACGAUACGAGAGAGAGGGAAGAGAAGAGAAAUGAGAUGAUGAACAGCAGUGCUAUGAUGAGAUGCUCCAACACCAACGCCCUUUUCAGAGCUUUCAGAGCCAAAACCCGCGAUUCUUCUCUGCCAAUUUCUUCAAUGCCCAUCAACAAAGGUACUGGUGGGAAGAAGGCAUAUGAUGCAUUGCUGUUGGACGCUGGGGGCACCCUUUUGCAAUUGGCAAAGCCAGUUGAGGACACUUAUGCCGCUAUUGGAUCCAAAUAUGGUGUUAUUAUGGAUCCAGCUAUGAUAAAGCAAGGAUUUAAGAGAGCAUUUGCUGCUCCGUGGCCUGAAAAGCUACGGUACCAGGGAGACGGGAAGCCAUUUUGGAAACUUAUAGUUUCUGAAGCCACAGGUUGUGGAGAUGGGGACUAUUUUGAGGAAGUUUAUGAGUACUAUGCAAGAGGGGAUGCGUGGCAUCUUCCCGAUGGAGCUCAUGAAGCAAUUACUCUUCUGAAGGAUGCUGGAGUUAAGAUGGCUGUUGUAUCCAAUUUUGACAACCGCUUAAGGAAGCUAUUGAAGGAUCUUAAUGUCUUAAAUCUAUUUGAUGCUGUCAUUAUAUCAUCAGAGGUCGGAUAUGAAAAACCAGAUUCGAGAAUAUUCCAAGCUGCUCUAGAUCAAGUAAAUGUAGAGGCUUGCAAAGCCUUACACAUUGGAGAUGAUAAAAAAGCAGAUAAAAUGGGGGCCAAUAACGUGGGGAUCGAUUGCUGCAGGUUAUGGGGUAUUGAUGUGAAGACAUUCUCCGAUAUACAAAAUCGCAUUCUCAAUUCAGAGGCUUAACGACUGAUGUGCUUGAUCAUGUUGGAAAGUGAAGUAGUGUACUUGAACUCUCGCUCCUAAUACUUCACUUUAGCCUCGAUCGCUUUGCACCUCUCCUCACCCAGUUGGCGUUUCUUCUAUGUUAGCAAUAAGACCUCUUUGAAGAUGACAUCAUGACUGUCGUUGUCCCCUCCCAAAAGGAAGUGUUCUUGCAACUGAGGAAGAAGAGAUUAGAGGAAGAAGAGAAUAAAAAAUUUGUUAUUGUUGUUGAAGGUACGAGUGAACCAAGAGCUGUCGAGAAGGUAUCAGCUGAAAGGGAAGAUCUUAGGCCUCCCUAUGUUGAAAAGAAGAAGUAUUAGCGCAAAGAAAAAACUACAAGGCCUGGAACACCUCGGCCUCCAUCGCCGAAACACCUGGGUACUAAGACCUCUGAUUUGGGUGAUACAUUGGCGGUGUUCUUUGAUGCAAAGCUGAAAAUUAAUGAGGGCAUAGAUGCAACUUUAACAUCAGAAGAAACUAGCAUAGUCUCGACAACCCGUCCAGAAAUGUUGUUGUAGGCGCUGAAUGAAUUUCAAUCUCAAGCUAUGGUGAUGGGCCGCCAACUAGACAACGUGCUAAGGAAGAUGCCGGACAUUAGCAAGCUGACUGUCGAGAUUGAGAAUUUGAAGAAAGAGCUUAGCACAGCCACUAAGGAAAAGAAAGAUGCAUUUAAGUCAGCUUGAUUCUGUUAAGAAAGAAAAAUCCCAGCUUUUGUCUGAACGCAAUGCUUGGAUAUCAAUAACAAACAUAUAUCUUCCUUUACCCAAA
RNA transcript from Vigna angularis (adzuki bean), 1606 nucleotides. RefSeq lists it as uncharacterized. Lineage: Eukaryota; Viridiplantae; Streptophyta; Magnoliopsida; Fabales; Fabaceae. The record is from RefSeq and is a predicted model, not a curated record. The transcript is spliced from 11 exons.